Molecule: ribosomal RNA, 495 nt
Filed under: uncultured Anaerostipes sp.
Lineage: Bacteria; Bacillati; Bacillota; Clostridia; Lachnospirales; Lachnospiraceae
Description: partial 16S ribosomal RNA
Source: RNAcentral
CACGUAGUUAGCCGGGGCUUCUUAGUCAGGUACCGUCAUUAUCUUCCCUGCUGAUAGAGCUUUACAUACCGAAAUACUUCUUCACUCACGCGGCGUCGCUGCAUCAGGGUUCCCCCCAUUGUGCAAUAUUCCCCACUGCUGCCUCCCGUAGGAGUCUGGACCGUGUCUCAGUCCCAAUGUGGCCGUUCACUCUCUCAAGCCGGCUACUGAUCGUCGCCUUGGUAAGCCGUUACCUUACCAACCAGCUAAUCAGACGCGGGUCCAUCCCAUAGCGAUAAAUCUUUCAAAACAGGACCAUGCGGUCCCGCUUUCCCAUGCGGUAUUAGCAGCCGUUUCCAGCUGUUCGUCCCCCUCUAUGGGGCAGGUUACCCACGCGUUACUCACCCGUCCGCCACUCAGUCACUCCCAUAUCGCUUCCUUCCCAGCAAGCUGGUUCUGUCCGCGGGUGGGAUGCUUCGUUCGACUUGCAUGUGUUAGGCACGCCGCAGCGUUCAU